RNAcentral lists this RNase P RNA (402 nucleotides) under Catenulispora sp. Its description in RNAcentral is "RNase P RNA component class A". It matches the Rfam family "Bacterial RNase P class A". Rfam says of the family: Ribonuclease P (RNase P) is a ubiquitous endoribonuclease, found in archaea, bacteria and eukarya as well as chloroplasts and mitochondria. Its best characterised activity is the generation of mature 5'-ends of tRNAs by cleaving the 5'-leader elements of precursor-tRNAs. Cellular RNase Ps are ribonucleoproteins. The record is from RNAcentral. Lineage: Bacteria; Bacillati; Actinomycetota; Actinomycetes; Catenulisporales; Catenulisporaceae.
CGAGUCGGCGAGGCGAUCGCGGCACCGGGCGACCGGCGUCGAGGAAAGUCCGGACUCCAUAGGACAGGGUGGUUGGCAACACCAACCCGGGGUGACCCGCGGGACAGUGCCACAGAGAACAGACCGCCCGACCGCCCGGCGCGAGCCGGUCGGAGCGGGUAAGGGUGAAACGGUGAGGUAAGAGCUCACCAGCGCCCGGGGUGACCCGGGCGGCUAGGUAAACCCCACCCGGAGCAAGGUCAAGAGGAGCGCGGGAGACCGCACUCUGCGCAGGCGUUUGAGGACGGUCCGUCCGAGCCUGCGGGUAGACCGCACGAGACGCGCGGCGACGCGCGUCCUAGAUGGAUGGUCGCCACCGCGCCGAGGCGCGGGACAGAAUCCGGCUUAUGACCGGCUCGCCGC